This is a long non-coding RNA of Chinchilla lanigera (long-tailed chinchilla), 3065 nucleotides long. RefSeq lists it as uncharacterized. NCBI's taxonomy places the organism in Eukaryota, Metazoa, Chordata, Mammalia, Rodentia, Chinchillidae. The record is from RefSeq and is a predicted model, not a curated record. The transcript is spliced from 7 exons.
UGCUGUGCCUUCUUAUGAGUCUAAGGAGUGAUGAGGUAGGAGGAUGUACUACCUUCACCUCCAUACAGGGCCUCUAAUUCCUCUUUACAGCCCGAAGGAACUGUCACGCAAAGCCCGUGCUGUGCUGGUGGAAUUUCCUGGCUUGCAACAUUCAUUCCUAGACUCGAAUCCUCCAAGAAAGAUGGAGGUGAGGGCGGGGUGAGAUUUUAAAAACAUCCAACUCUCUACAUUUAUAAAAAAGAAAACUGCAUAAUCUGUCCAGGUGGGAGAGCAGUCAGUGGACACUGCUUCGUUUCACUUGCAAGCUGGGAGGGACAAAGACCAACAAUUUUCCACCUACAAAGUGCAUCUAAACUGGCAGAGAACUGAGGCAGCUUGUCAGCCCAGUGGUACAAAGGGAAAAUGAGGAAGGACGAUCUUCUGUUUUUUCGGAAGAGCUCCAGUCUUUGCCUUCUCGUUGGUUGUCAUCUCCUGGCUUCCAGUGCGGACUCUUCAGCUUCCGGUGCAGAACCUUAAGCCUUCCGGUGUAGACUCAGAUCCUUUCCACUGCAGAUGCAUCAGCCUCCACGUACGGACUUGCAAAGACACUGCAGUGAGCUCCAGAACUCGGACUGAGUCCUUCGGUCUCUUGUGCGCAGACGCCCUCUGCACGCUUCCCCAUCCAACUCUGCAGAUGUAAAUGAUCUUGCCAAGUGAAAUAGCAGUUUGGGGAACUGUGGAAUGAGUGGGGGAAGCUGUGUAGAAUUCUGCAACAUGAGCCAUUCAAGGACUCCGGAGAGGAGGAAAGGGUCAGCUGAGGUGCUGGUUUGCUUCCUCAUUGCCUAGGGACUGAUGACCCGGGAAAAUGAAGUUAUUGGUCUUCUAUACCCGGUAUAUAAUGGUGACCCUUCACAGGAAUAAGCACACACAAACUUCUGCUUAGAUAAAUGAAAAACAUGAAACUCGGCCAUCACUAUUCCAUCCACUGUGCAAGACUCACCCUAAGGAUGGGACAAUUUCUUGGUCAGGGUCUAAUUAUCUUCUCUCAGAGGAGCACCCUUGUCCACUUCUCUCUGCCGGUUCCAGUUCUGUCUCUCCCUGUCCAUCGUCCAACACAGCCAACAUCAGUUUUGGAAACAUGCCCUUUUGGGGUCAGUAUGGGAUUCUCAGCCUUUCUCAUAAAUAUAGAUAUUCUGCUGGCCUGAGGCAAGGGGCUGAAGCAGUUUCACUUGGAGAAGUCAACAGAACAAUGACAUGUGCAAAAAUGAUGGAAGGAGAGGGACAGGGGAAAGCAAAAGAUGAAAGGAAGCAAUCUGAACAUUAUACAGCUCCUAACGGCAUCACUCCUUCCAUGUACAGAUGGGCAGAAAGCACCUGAGAUGAAGGAAGUGUCAUGAACAAAGACAGAAAGCAUAAAGUGAAAUCAUGGGUUAUUUUCAAUGAAUUAAUGUGGGGAAUAAAGAAAAAAGAAAUAAUGACAGAAGAAGAAGGCAUGACAGACAGUUUAAAAUCUUUUGAGCCCUAAUAACAAGGAGAAUAAUGAUACCAUUAACUAACAUAGCAAAGUCAGUGCGUGGAGAUAAAGUGGUGAUUAAUGAUUUUAGCAUUAAAAUUAUAACUUUGAAGGACAUCAAAUGUGCAAUGAAUUAAGAAGUGGAGAUGCGCAAGAUGGUGAUAAUCACGGGGCAGAUACACACGUAUGCACAGACAUGAGAAAACAUUGCUCUAAAGAAAGUGGAAAGAACAGGAAGAAAUAGCUGAGAAUGAUAUAGUUGAUGUUGAUCAGCCUUAUCCAGUUCCUCUUUAUGAUUUGAGGCAUUCAUCUCCAUCUCCCUAUUGCUGUCAUUAUUGCUAAAAGUAGUGGUACACCGGUCAGCCCUCCUGCCUCAAAGAAAAGUCAUGAGUAGUGCAAUUUGAGCUCCAGGCCAUUUCAUAGGAGCAGGUAAUGUUAGUCUCCAUCUGAAGCAAUAGGUUUUAUGUCCCUUCCUUAUAUUGCUCCCCUCAUUUCCCUCCUGACAGCUCUCCCCAGACUCUAGGAAACAUGAUCCACGACAGACACCAUCUUUAGCAGAAUAAUGUCAAGAAAAACAGGUGGAGCAGAACUCAGAUCGAUGGGCAUAGGUUCCCAGAAAUGGCACCAGAAGAGGGUUUUGAUUAAGGGCAGAAUGGUCAUUGGUGUCAGAAGUGCUCAUAAAAGAUAAAAGCAAAUGUUACUCUAAAAAUUGUGGUAGCAUUUGGAACCUUUGAAAGUACAAUUUCAGCAGAGUAAUGUGGAUACUUUUGCUCAAAAAUGUUUGGUGUAGGGGAUAGAGAGAUUGUAGAUGCUUGCUUGAGGGACUAGCAGAAUCUAUGCUCCUUUGUUCGAACCAAGUGUGUAAAACAAAAAGUCAAAUGAAAAACAAGAACAAAAUGUACUGAUACUUUGGCUGAGAAGUGGGGCAACAAUAGCAUGUAUGCUUGCCUCUGUAUGUGUUCACUUUUCCUUCCACUGCUGCUCUACGGGGCUUCUGUGACACUCCGGUGUAUGGUGGGGAGGACCAAUUUAAAGGCUAUGAUGAAGAAGAAUUAUGCAGAUAAUUCUGAAAUAUGAAGCAAGCAGUAGGAAAAUUUUAAGAGGAUUAGACUGAGAUUGUUACAAAAGGAUCUGUGCCUCCCCUAUUUCUGAGGUUCUUAUGAUGUGAGAGUCUAAAAUACCUCAUCAAGUUAAUAUGGGAACUCACUCUGUUUUUUCAUGAAAAACUUUUCUGCAGUCCUCGAGAUUGGACCAAGAGACUCCUACUUGCCAGAAAAGUGUUUUAGCACCGAAUUACAUCCUCAGACCUCUUGAGUGCUUACUUUAAUUUGGUCUUUACUACAGUGCUGUCAGGAAAUGUGAGUGGAAUGAGGGAGCACUGUCUUCUGAAAUAAAAGUCAAAGAAUAAACUCAAAUCUCUUGCAAAUCAUGUUGCAGAUGGGAGACAGAAACCGUACAAGUUCUUUGCACUCUUCUUUCUUCUUGCUCCUAUAGCCUACUAAAGACCCCGCAACCAACACAAAAAUGAUUGGCAGGCUUACAAUAUAGGGCUUUCAUAAAAAAAAAAAAAAAA